This is a non-coding RNA of Gossypium raimondii (Peruvian cotton), 143 nucleotides long. Lineage: Eukaryota; Viridiplantae; Streptophyta; Magnoliopsida; Malvales; Malvaceae. The record is from Rfam.
UAUUAAAAAUGUAAUCAAUUUGUACUAUUAAACUGACGUGGUUAACAGAAUACCCAGGCAAUAUUACAUAACGCCCUAUAUGUGUCUUGUGCUAACAUACAUGGGUUGAUUUUUAACAGUGAAAAUGAAUGAAAUUUUUAAUA